This 253-nucleotide ribosomal RNA is filed under the name uncultured bacterium. RNAcentral's name for it is "partial 16S ribosomal RNA". It matches the Rfam family "Bacterial small subunit ribosomal RNA", at positions 524 to 776 of the family's 1533-position model. The record is from RNAcentral.
UACGUAGGUGGCAAGCGUUGUCCGGAUUUACUGGGCGUAAAGCGUGCGCAGGCGGUGAUGUAAGACAGAUGUGAAAUCCCCGGGCUCAACCUGGGAACUGCAUUUGUGACUGCAUCGCUGGAGUGCGGCAGAGGGGGAUGGAAUUCCGCGUGUAGCAGUGAAAUGCGUAGAUAUGCGGAGGAACACCGAUGGCGAAGGCAAUCCCCUGGGCCUGCACUGACGCUCAUGCACGAAAGCGUGGGGAGCAAACAGG